RNAcentral lists this ribosomal RNA (800 nucleotides) under uncultured bacterium. Its description in RNAcentral is "bacterial SSU rRNA". It matches the Rfam family "Bacterial small subunit ribosomal RNA", at positions 8 to 719 of the family's 1533-position model. The record is from RNAcentral.
AGAGUUUGAUCCUGGCUCAGAACGAACGCUGGCGGCGUGCCUAACACAUGCAAGUCGAACGGAGUUAAGGCAGAGCACAGAAGCCAGAGCUCAGACAUACAGAAGGCAGACAUUAGGGUAAAACAAACUUAAGUCUGUGCUCUGAUAGUCUGUCAUCUGUAUUCUGGUUUGUGUGCUUUGUCUUAACUUAGUGGCGGACGGGUGAGUAACACGUAGGUAACCUGCCUCAAAGCGGGGGACAACAUCGGGAAACCGGUGCUAAUACCGCAUAAGACCACGAUCUGGGAUGAUUGUGGUAAAAGCAGCAAUGCGCUUUGAGAGGGGCCUGCGGCCUAUCAGGUAGUUGGUAAGGUAACGGCUUACCAAGCCUAAGACGGGUAGCCGGACUGAGAGGUUGAACGGCCACACUGGAACUGAGACACGGUCCAGACUCCUACGGGAGGCAGCAGUGGGGAAUUUUGCGCAAUGGGGGAAACCCUGACGCAGCGACGCCGCGUGAAGGAUGAAGGUCUUCGGAUUGUAAACUUCUUUUGUCGGGGAAGAUAAUGACGGUACCCGAUGAAUAAGCCACGGCUAACUCUGUGCCAGCAGCCGCGGUAAGACAGAGGUGGCAAGCGUUGUUCGGAAUUACUGGGCUUAAAGGGCGCGUAGGCGGUGGAGUAAGUCUGAGGUGGAAGGUCAGGGCUUAACCCUGAAAUUGCCCUUGGGAAACUGCAUCACUUGAGUCAGCGAGGGGAUGGCGGAAAUUCCAGGUGUAGCGGUGAAAUGCGUAGAUAUCUGGAGGAAGGGCCGGUGGCGAA